GACGAACGCUGGCGGCGUGCUUAACACAUGCAAGUCGAACGGAAAGGCCCUUCGGGGUACUCGAGUGGCGAACGGGUGCGUAACACGUGGGUGAUCUGCCCUGCACUUUGGGAUAAGCCUGGGAAACUGGGUCUAAUACCGAAUAGGACCACGCGCUUCAUGGUGUGUGGUGGAAAGCUUUUGCGGUGUGGGUUGGGCCCGCGGCCUAUCAGCUUGUUUGUGGGGUAAUGGCCUACCAAGGCGACGACGGGUAGCCGGCCUGAGAGGGUGACCGGCCACACUGGGACUGAGAUACGGCCCAGACUCCUACGGGAGGCAGCAGUGGGGAAUAUUGAACAAUGGGCGCAAGCCUGAUGCAGCGACGCCGCGUGAGGGAUGACGGCCUUCGGGUUGUAAACCUCUUUCAAUAGGGACGAAGCGCAAGUGACGGUACCUAUAGAAGAAGCACCGGCCAACUACGUG
RNAcentral lists this ribosomal RNA (462 nucleotides) under uncultured bacterium. RNAcentral's name for it is "partial 16S ribosomal RNA". It matches the Rfam family "Bacterial small subunit ribosomal RNA", at positions 28 to 507 of the family's 1533-position model. The record is from RNAcentral.